GGUAAAAUUGUUUAUCAGGUCAAGAUCUAUCUGUCCUGAAAUUUUCAGAUGAAUUGAGCAACCCGUUGUUGGGUUGCUGCCCCUGAAUUGGUAAUUUUAAGGAAAUUUUGCUGUUUUUGGUUAUUAUCUUGAAUAUUAUUAUAGAUAGAGAUAAACUGUAAACAGCAAUAAUGUUCAGCAAAGUAAGAUUUACAAAUAAAUCAACAUGACCGAAAUGGUCAGUUGACCCCUUUAGGAGUUAUUGCCCUUUAUAGUCAAUUUUUAACCAUUUUUCGUAAAUCUUGAUAAUCUUUUACAAAAAUCUUCUUCUCUGAAACUACUGGGCCAAAUUAAACCAAACUUUACCACAAUCAUCAUUGGGGUAUUUAGUUUAAAAAAUGUGUCCGGUGACCCGGCCAACCAACCAAGAUGGCCGCCAUGGCUAAAAAUAGAACAUAGGGG
Molecule: long non-coding RNA, 441 nt
Filed under: Mytilus galloprovincialis (Mediterranean mussel)
Lineage: Eukaryota; Metazoa; Mollusca; Bivalvia; Mytilida; Mytilidae
Source: RNAcentral